Molecule: ribosomal RNA, 475 nt
Filed under: uncultured organism
Description: partial 16S ribosomal RNA
Rfam family: Bacterial small subunit ribosomal RNA
Source: RNAcentral
ACACUCCUGCGGGAGGCAGCAGUGGGGAAUAUUGCACAAUGGGCGCAAGCCUGAUGCAGCCAUGCCGCGUGUAUGAAGAAGGCCUUCGGGUUGUAAAGUACUUUCAGCGGGGAGGAAGGCGAUAAGGUUAAUAACCUUGUUGAUUGACGUUACCCGCAGAAGAAGCACCGGCUAACUCCGUGCCAGCAGCCGCGGUAAUACGGAGGGUGCAAGCGUUAAUCGGAAUUACUGGGCGUAAAGCGCACGCAGGCGGUCUGUCAAGUCGGAUGUGAAAUCCCCGGGCUCAACCUGGGAACUGCAUUCGAAACUGGCAGGCUAGAGUCUUGUAGAGGGGGGUAGAAUUCCAGGUGUAGCGGUGAAAUGCGUAGAGAUCUGGAGGAAUACCGGUGGCGAAGGCGGCCCCCUGGACAAAGACUGACGCUCAGGUGCGAAAGCGUGGGGAGCAAACAGGAUUAGAUACCCUUGUAGUCCCAUG